AGGGUUUGAUUAUGGCUCAGGACGAACGCUGGCGGCGUGCCUAACACAUGCAAGUCGAACGGAGUUAAGCUCUUCGGAACUUAACUUAGUGGCGAACGGGUGAGUAACGCGUGAGGAACCUGCCUUUCAGUGGGGGACAACAGUUGGAAACGACUGCUAAUACCGCAUGACACUUUUGGGAGACAUCUCCUGAAAGUCAAAGCUUUAUGUGCUGAAAGAUGGCCUCGCGUCUGAUUAGCUGGUUGGUGAGGUAACGGCUCACCAAGGCGACGAUCAGUAGCCGGUCUGAGAGGAUGAACGGCCACAUUGGGACUGAGAUACGGCCCAG
This 328-nucleotide ribosomal RNA is filed under the name uncultured bacterium. Its description in RNAcentral is "bacterial SSU rRNA". It matches the Rfam family "Bacterial small subunit ribosomal RNA", at positions 8 to 334 of the family's 1533-position model. The record is from RNAcentral.